GCAGCCCAGACGACCCAUGGCUAGGACUCUGACAUCCAGCCAUCUCAAUAUUCCAGAGAAGAGGAUGAGUGUGAAGGGUGGUGGCGAUUUUAAACAAGGUGAUCAGGAAGACCUUGUGGAUAACUUCGGGUCUGAGCACACUCCAUCAGGCUGCCGGAUAGUCUCACCAUUACUCCCGUUAUUUGGAACCUCUUCACUGCAACGUGACCUUGUUUAUGUGAGUUUAGCUCUCUGAGACUCAGUUUCCUCAAAUGCAAUAUGAUAAGGUAGGAGUAUCUGAUCCCUACUGUCCCUUCCAGAUAAAAUAUUAUGCAAAUCCAUGCUGUUUGUAAAAAGGAAGGAAUUUUCCAAGCACUGUAUGGUGGUGUGUGGGGAGAGCACCAAUGGUAUUGGUGGUUGAAAGAGAUUUUCAGAGACUCCAGCUCAACUCUAACUUGUGGGUUAGUAAACUAUGGCCUGGAGGCCAA
Molecule: long non-coding RNA, 467 nt
Filed under: Homo sapiens (human)
Lineage: Eukaryota; Metazoa; Chordata; Mammalia; Primates; Hominidae
Description: non-protein coding lnc-FGF8-1:1
Source: RNAcentral